ACUUUCAACAACGGAUCUCUUGGUUCUCGCAUCGAUGAAGAACGCAGCGAAAUGCGAUACGUAAUAUGAAUUGCAGAUUUUCGUGAAUCAUCGAAUCUUUGAACGCACAUUGCGCCUGUGGUAUCCACAGGCAUGCCUGUUGAGCGUCAUUUCUCCCUCAAACCUCUGGUUGGCGUUGAGUGAUACUCGGUUACUUGAAAACAUGAAAAGCAUAACUAUUAGGUUUACCAACUCGUUAUACUAAUCUACAAGUUUGACCUCAAAUCAGGUAGGACUACCCGCUGAACUUAAGCAUAUCAAUAAGCGAGGAAAAGAAACCAACGGGAUUGCCUCAGUAACGGCGAGUGAAGCGGCAAAAGCUCAAAUUGAAAUCUGCGUAAGCCGAGUUGUAAUUUGAAGAUGGCUACUUUGGUAAUGGCUCUGUCUAUGUUCCUUGGAACAGGACGUCACAGAGGGUGAAAUCCGUGCGAUGAGAUGUCCAUUACCGUGUAAAGUGCUUCGAGAGUCGAGUUGUUUGGGAAUGCAGCUCUAAGUGGGUGUAAUUCCAUCUAAAGUAAAUAUUGGCGAGAGACGAUAGCGAACAAGUACAGUGAUGGAAGAUGAAAAGAACUUUGAAAAGAGAGUGAAAAGUACGUGAAAUUGUUGAAAGGGAAGGCUGAGAUCAGACUUGGUAUUUUGUAUGGCUUGCUUUCGGGCGGUCCUCUGCAGUUUACUGGGCCAGCAUCGGUUUGGGUGGCAGGAUAAUAGCAUAGGAAUGUGCUCUACUUCGGUGGAGUGUAUAGCCUUUGUUGAUACUGCCUGCCUAGACCGAGGACUGCGUCUUUUGACUAGAUGCUGGCAUAAUGAUCCUAAGCCGCCCGUCUUGAAACACGGACCAAGGAGUCUAACGUCUAUGCGAGUGUUUGGUGUAAAACCGUACGCGGAAUGAAAGUGAACGUAGAUGAGAGCCUUUUAGGCGCAUCAUCGACCGAUCCUGAUGUCUUCGGAUGGAUUUGAGUAAGAGCAUAGCUGUUGGACCGAAGAUGUGAACUAUGCUGAUAGGGUGAAGCCAGAGAAACUCUGUGGAGGCUCGUAGCGGUUCUGACGUGCAAUCGAUCGUCGAAUUUGGGUAUGGGCGAAGACUAAUCGAACCAUCUAGUAGCUGGUUCUGCCGAAGUUUCCCUCAGGAUAGCAGAACUCGUAUCAGUUUUAUGAGGUAAGCGAAUGAUUAGAGUUUGGGUUGAAAUGACCUUAACCUAUUCUCAAACUUUAAUAUGUAAGAAGUCCUUGUUGCUUAAUUGAACGUGACAUAUGAAUGAAGAGCUUUAGUGGCCAUUUUGGUAAGCAGAACUGGCGAUGCGGGAUGAACCGAACGCGAAGUUAAAGUGCCGGAAUACACGCUCAUCAGACACCACAAAGGUGUAGUUCAUCUAGACAGCCGGACGGUGGCCAUGGAAGUUCGGAAUCCGCUAAGGAGUGUGUAACAACUCACCGGCCGAAUGAACUAGCCUGAAAAUGGAUGCGCUCAAGCGUGUUACUUAUACUUUGCCGUCAGGUUGAUAUGAUGCCCUGACGAGUAGGCAGGCGUGGAGGUCAGUGACGAAGCUUUGUUGUAAACUGGGUCGAACGGCUCUAGUGCAUCUUGGUGGUAGUAGCAAUAUUCAAAUGAGAACUUUGAAGACUGAAGUGGGGAAAGUUCCAUGUCAACAGCAGUUGGAAUGGGUUAGUCGAUCUAAGAGAUGGGAAGCUCCGUUCAAAGGCCUGAUUUUUCAGGCCACAUCGAAAGGAUCCGGUUAAAUUCCGGAACUUGGGAUGGAUUCUUCACGGUAACGUAACUGAUGUGGAGACGUCGGCGUGGCCUGGAGGUUCUCUUUCUUCUUAACGCUUAUCACCUGGAAUUGGUUUAUCCGGAGAUGGGUCUUAUGGCUGGAAGAGCGCAAUACUUUGUUGCGUCCGGUGCGCUUACGACGGUCCUUGAAAUCCACAGAAGAAUAGUUUUAUGCCAAGUCUACUCAUACGCAGCAGGUCUCCAAGGUUAACAGCCUCUAGUUGAUAGAAUAAUGGUAGAUAAGGGAAUCGCAAAAUAGAUCCGUAUUCGGGAUAAGGAUUGGCUCUAAGGAUCGGGUGAGGGAGCGUGCGAGACGUGGGGGUUUCCGCGGACUGUUUUCGGACGGACUGCUAGACGACCUGCUAGACCACUGCGGUGCCUGCCUCACCUUACAUCAACUUGAACUGGUACGGACAAGGGGAAUCUGACUGUCUAAUUAAACAUAGCAUUGCGAUGUCAGAGUGAUUGACGCAUGUGAUUCGCCGUGCCUGAUGUCAAAGUGAAGAAAUUCAACCAGCGCGGGUAAACGGCGGGAGUACUAUGACUCUCUAAGAGCCAAAUGCUCGUCAUCUAAUAGUGCGCAUGAAUGGAUUAACGAGAUUCCACUGUCCCUAUCUAUAUCUAGCGAAACCACAGCCAAGGGAACGGGCUUGCAGAAUCAGCGGGAAAGAAGACCUGUUGAGCUUGACUCUGUUGACAUUGUGAAAGACAUAGAGGUGUGAUAAGUGGGGCUCGGCGCGGUGAAAUACCACUACUCUAUGUUUUUUACUUAUUCAAUUAGCGGAAUGGACUUCAUUGUCCACUUUCUAGCAUUAAGGUCGAGCUGAUCCGGUUGAAGACUUGUCAGGUGGGAGUUUGGCUGGGCGGCAAUUGUUAAACGAUAACGCAGGUGUCCUAAGGGGGCUCAUGGAGAACAGAAUCUCCGUAGACAAAGGUAAAGCCCCUUAUUUUGAUUUCAGUGUGAUACAACCAUGAAAGUGGCCUAUCGAUCCUUUGUCCUUUGAAUUUGAGCUAGAGGUGCCAGAAAGUUACCACAGGAUAACUGGUUGUGGCAGUCAAGCGUUCAUAGCGACAUUGCUUUUGAUUCUUCGAUGUCGCUCUUCCUAUCAUACCGAAGCAGAUUCGGUAGCGUUGGAUUGUUCACCAUAUAGGGACGUGAGCUGGGUUUGACUCGUGGACGGUUAGUUUUACCCUACUGAUGUGUUGUCGCAAUAGUAUUGAACUUAGUACGAGAGAACCGUUCAUUCGGAUAUUGGUUUUGCGGCUGUCUGAUCAGGCAACGCCGCGAGUACAUCCGCUGGAUUAUGGCUGACGCCUCUAAGUCAGAUCUGCUAGAAGCGACGAUUCUUGCCUCGCACAUUUU
This 3170-nucleotide ribosomal RNA is filed under the name Fermentozyma sake. RNAcentral describes it as "eukaryotic LSU rRNA". It matches the Rfam family "Eukaryotic large subunit ribosomal RNA". Lineage: Eukaryota; Fungi; Ascomycota; Pichiomycetes; Serinales; Debaryomycetaceae. The record is from RNAcentral.